GCCACCGUGUGCGGCCACAACACUGGUGGCCGAGCCUGACAGUGUCACCUCACCCAUUAUAAGGCCGGAGCCUGAUAGAGUUCAAAUCGGUGUGAAUGCCUCCACGGAGCCUAACAGAGUGCCGUCACCCAAUCUAGAGGCAGAGCCUGCUAGAGUUCAAACUAGUGUGGACAUCCCCACAGAGCCUAACUUAGUGACCUCACCCAAUAUAGAGGCAGAGC
Carya illinoinensis is the source of this 221-nucleotide long non-coding RNA. RefSeq lists it as uncharacterized. Lineage: Eukaryota; Viridiplantae; Streptophyta; Magnoliopsida; Fagales; Juglandaceae. The transcript is spliced from 3 exons. The record is from RefSeq and is a predicted model, not a curated record.